GAUUCUCUAAGAGAACAUUUGAAGUGAUGAUUAACAAGUAUAAGAGUUUAGUAAAGAAAUUUAUAUUCUAAGUUUAAUCACAAGUAAGGACUCUAAACAAUUAACUCAUUUAUCAGGUUACACUAAUUCCAUCAGAAACGUAAAACUUUAUUGAUCACAAUUUGUUCACAUAGAACUCUCCCUUUUCAUUUGAGAGUUCAGAUGCAUUAGAGUUGGAACCAAAAUAUGCAGUUUACAGUGGUCCUGGAAAGGUGCCAUUCUCCCUCUGCUCAUUCCAUCUAUCAAUCCAUUCACCGGGGCAAAGGGAUCGAUAAUACUUGGCGAACUUGUCACAUUCAGGAGCACCUUCACCCUUUGCAGCUAUGCAUCGGUGGUAUUCAACAUAUCUAGUGAAGCAGUGCCUUGUUUGAUUUGUAGUAGGGAAGCGGAAGUCAGCAGGCGCAGUCUCAAGCUUAAUCUCAGGGGUCUCAUCAGCGGAUUCAUGAUUUUCACUCUCAGCCUCUACAGGAGGAGAAGCUUCAUUAAUUUCCGGUGUCGUUGAGUCAGAGGCUCCACUGCUUUCUUCAGAUGUGGCAGGCACAGCUUCACUACUCUCAACUACUGGGGUUUCCUCAGUUUUUGGAGUAUCUUCCUCAGAUGGAGCAGUUGAAGAGGCCUUAACCUCAGUUUCUUCCACUGGAUUAGCCACUGUGGUGGAUUUCUCUUCUUUCUCUUUCAGUAAAUAUUGCUCAGAUAAAGAUGGAGAUUUUGAGUUGUCUACUUCGGCCAUUAACGAAGGAAAAUAGCUGAUGGCCUUAAGCUUAUUCGUAGAAAGUUAGGAGUAAAAGUGAGUGUGUCAUUAGAACAAUCAUUCAAAGUUGAUUGCAAUUUUCUGUUGGAG
RNAcentral lists this unclassified non-coding RNA (880 nucleotides) under Hevea brasiliensis (rubber tree). The record is from RNAcentral. Lineage: Eukaryota; Viridiplantae; Streptophyta; Magnoliopsida; Malpighiales; Euphorbiaceae.